GGUGAGUAACACGUGGGCAGCCUGCCUGCNGACGGGGAUAACUCCGGGAAACCGGGGCUAAUACCGGAUAAUAUCUUCCUUCGCAUGAAGGAAGGUUGAAAGGCGGCGCAGCUGCCGCUUGCAGAUGGGCCCGCGGCGCAUUAGCUAGUUGGUGAGGUAACGGCUCACCAAGGCGACGAUGCGUAGCCGACCUGAGAGGGUGAUCGGCCACACUGGGACUGAGACACGGCCCAGACUCCUACGGGAGGCAGCAGUAGGGAAUCUUCCGCAAUGGACGAAAGUCUGACGGAGCAACGCCGCGUGAGCGAANAAGGUCUUCGGAUCGUAAAGCUCUGUUGUCAGGGAAGAACAAGUACCGUUCGAACAGGGCGGUACCUUGACGGUACCUGACCAGAAAGCCACGGCUAACUACGUGCCANCAGCCGCGGUAAUACNUAGGUGGCAAGCGUUGUCCGGAAUUAUUGGGCGUAAAGCGCGCGCAGGCGGUCUCUUAAGUCUGAUGUGAAAGCCCACGGCUCAACCGUGGAGGGUCAUUGGAAACUGGGAGACUUGAGUGCAGAANAGGAGAGCGGAAUUCCACGUGUAGCGGUGAAAUGCGUAGAGAUGUGGAGGAACACCAGUGGCGAAANCGGCUCUCUGGUCUGUAACUGACGCUGNNNCGCGAAAGCGUGGGGAGCGAACAGGAUUAGAUACCCUGGUAGUCCACGCC
Molecule: ribosomal RNA, 709 nt
Filed under: uncultured bacterium
Lineage: Bacteria
Description: bacterial SSU rRNA
Rfam family: Bacterial small subunit ribosomal RNA
Source: RNAcentral